CCUACGGGUGGCAGCAGUGAGGAAUAUUGGUCCAUGGUCGGGAGACUGAACCAGCCAAGCCGCGUGAGGGAUGAAGGUACAGAGUAUCGUAAACCUCUUUUGUCAGGGAACAAAGACUGGGACGCGUCCCCGGAUGAGUGUACCUGAAGAAAAAGCAUCGGCUAACUCCGUGCCAGCAGCCGCGGUAAUACGGAGGAUGCGAGCGUUAUCCGGAUUUAUUGGGUUUAAAGGGUGCGCAGGGGGUAUGUUAAGUCAGCGGUAAAAGCCCGGGGCUCAACCCCGGCCCGCCGUUGAAACUGGCAGUCUCGAGUGGGCGAGAAGUAUGCGGAAUGCGCGGUGUAGCGGUGAAAUGCAUAGAUAUCGCGCAGAACUCCGAUUGCGAAGGCAGCAUGCCGGCUCCACACUGACGCUGAGGCACGAAAGCGUGGGUAUCGAACAGGAUUAGAUACCCUUGUAGUC
This 459-nucleotide ribosomal RNA is filed under the name uncultured bacterium. Its description in RNAcentral is "partial 16S ribosomal RNA". It matches the Rfam family "Bacterial small subunit ribosomal RNA", at positions 338 to 795 of the family's 1533-position model. The record is from RNAcentral.